CAAUAUAUAUUGGAGGGCAAGUCUGGUGCCAGCAGCCGCGGUAAUUCCAGCUCCAAGAGCGUAUAUUAAAGUUGUUGCAGUUAAAAAGCUCGUAGUUGAACCUUGGGUUUUGGAGGGAGGUCCACCUCACGGUGAGUACUUCCAUAUCCAAGACCUUUCCUCUGCUUCCUCGCAAGAGGCAGCAGAAUAUUACUUUGAGUAAAUGAGAGUGUUCAAAGCAGGCGCACGCUUGAAUCUGUUAGCAUGGAAUAAUAGAAUAGGACGCAUGGUUCUAUUUUGUUGGUUUCUAGGACCAUCGUAAUGAUUAAUAGGGACGGUCGGGGGCAUCAGUAUUCAGUUGUCAGAGGUGAAAUUCUUGGAUUUACUGAAGACUAACUACUGCGAAAGCAUUUGCCAAGGACGUUUUCAUUAAUCAAGAACGAAAGUUAGGGGAUCGAAGAUGAUCAGAUACCGUCCGCCGCUCAGGGGG
RNAcentral lists this ribosomal RNA (469 nucleotides) under Candidozyma auris. RNAcentral describes it as "SSU rRNA". It matches the Rfam family "Eukaryotic small subunit ribosomal RNA", at positions 539 to 1032 of the family's 1831-position model. Lineage: Eukaryota; Fungi; Ascomycota; Pichiomycetes; Serinales; Metschnikowiaceae. The record is from RNAcentral.